AUUGAACGCUGGCGGCAUGCUUUACACAUGCAAGUCGAACGGUAACAGGUUAAGCUGACGAGUGGCGAACGGGUGAGUAAUGCAUCGGAACGUGCCCGAUCGUGGGGGAUAACGCAGCGAAAGCUGCGCUAAUACCGCAUACGAUCUGAGGAUGAAAGCGGGGGACCGUAAGGCCUCGCGCGAUCGGAGCGGCCGAUGUCAGAUUAGGUAGUUGGUGGGGUAAAGGCCCACCAAGCCGACGAUCUGUAGCUGGUCUGAGAGGACGACCAGCCACACUGGGACUGAGACACGGCCCAGACUCCUACGGGAGGCAGCAGUGGGGAAUUUUGGACAAUGGGCGAAAGCCUGAUCCAGCAAUGCCGCGUGCAGGAAGAAGGCCUUCGGGUUGUAAACCGCUUUUGUACGGAGCGAAAAGGUCCUUUCUAAUACAGGGGGCUCAUGACGGUACCGUAAGAAUAAGCACCGGCUAACUACGUGCCAGCAGCCGCAGUAA
RNAcentral lists this ribosomal RNA (493 nucleotides) under uncultured bacterium. Its description in RNAcentral is "partial 16S ribosomal RNA". It matches the Rfam family "Bacterial small subunit ribosomal RNA", at positions 29 to 523 of the family's 1533-position model. The record is from RNAcentral.